Molecule: long non-coding RNA, 921 nt
Filed under: Homo sapiens (human)
Lineage: Eukaryota; Metazoa; Chordata; Mammalia; Primates; Hominidae
Description: HSALNT0298753
Source: RNAcentral
CCUGUAAGCACAUACACACAGAGUUCUGAAGGCUAGGUCUCCUUUCCUUCUGGUUUAGAGUUUUCAGAGUACCCUGCUGUGGCCUUGGAAACAGAAAACCCACACAGAGGUCAAACGCAGUUCUCGUGGAGUCACCUUGUCAUCCUGCUUUGUUUUGGAAGGAACUGGGUCGGAGGCAGCACAGUAGGACUACAGCAUCUUUAACCCUUGCUUUUAAAAUCCAUGGAACUCUAUCACCAGGAGAUGAUUGUGGUAUGGAGCUGAUCACCCCGGAGUUAGUGGGGUGGCAACUGAGAUCGGGGGGAAAUGGAGCAGUUUGAGGAUAUAUGGGCCGUGAAAACCUCCCAGCUCUGCCCCCAGCCAUGCCAUGAAAGUCAUGGGGAAGAAAGGCCCCCAUUUGUGUGUUUGUGUUAUUAAAUAGAACAGUAACAGAGCAGGUCUCUGAGCCUGCCUGGCAGAAAUCUUUCUGUAGCAGGAGUGUCCUGCAACUCUCUGGUGGAUUUGCAAAACAGUACAGAUAGAAAAACUUAAAUGGGAAACAAGCUUGUCUUGUCCUACUUUGUGGAGAUAGAUAAUAAAGCCGAAAGGCCAAGAAGUGUAAAUAUAUAGCAUAUAUCUAAUGUAUAUGGUAUAUGUACAUAUCAAUCUAUAGCUAUGCAAUAUCUACACUAUUUAUCUAUGUUUAUACGAUGACUCUAGGCUUCAGAAGACCUGUCAAAGAUUUCCAUACAUCUAGAGAAUUUAGAAGGAUCCCUUUAUAGGUGAGAGUUGAGACUUUUUGGCUGCAGGUUGGGAUUUGGUGGACUAGUUCCUGGUACCACCACCUAGUUGCCGUGAUUAUCUUUAGACUAACCAAGGCCCUUGUGUUAGCCUUCCGUAAAUCAUCCCCACCCCUAAGCAAGACAGCACCUAUACCUUCAC